GUCCACGCCCUAAACGAUGUCAACUGGUUGUUGGACGGCUUGCUGUUCAGUAACGAAGCUAACGCGUGAAGUUGACCGCCUGGGGAGUACGGCCGCAAGGUUGAAACUCAAAGGAAUUGACGGGACCCGCACAAGCGGUGGAUGAUGUGGUUUAAUUCGAUGCAACGCGAAAACCUUACCUACCCUUGACAUGUUAAGAAUCUUGCAGAGAUGUGAGAGUGCUCGAAAGAGAACUUAAACACAGGUGCUGCAUGGCCGUCGU
Molecule: ribosomal RNA, 262 nt
Filed under: uncultured bacterium
Lineage: Bacteria
Description: partial 16S ribosomal RNA
Rfam family: Bacterial small subunit ribosomal RNA
Source: RNAcentral